GCUCCCAUGGUGUAAUGGACAGCACGACAGGUUCCGGUCCUGUUGGUGAGGGUUCGAAUCCUUCUGGGAGUACUA
This 75-nucleotide transfer RNA is filed under the name Ignavibacteriota bacterium. Its description in RNAcentral is "Ignavibacteriae bacterium tRNA-Arg". It matches the Rfam family "tRNA". From Rfam's summary of the family: Transfer RNA (tRNA) molecules are approximately 80 nucleotides in length. Their secondary structure includes four short double-helical elements and three loops (D, anti-codon, and T loops). Further hydrogen bonds mediate the characteristic L-shaped molecular structure. tRNAs have two regions of fundamental functional importance: the anti-codon, which is responsible for specific mRNA codon recognition, and the 3' end, to which the tRNAs corresponding amino acid is attached (by aminoacyl-tRNA synthetases). tRNAs cope with the degeneracy of the genetic code in two manners: having more than one tRNA (with a specific anti-codon) for a particular amino acid; and 'wobble' base-pairing, i.e. permitting non-standard base-pairing at the 3rd anti-codon position. Lineage: Bacteria; Pseudomonadati; Ignavibacteriota. The record is from RNAcentral.